Molecule: ribosomal RNA, 460 nt
Filed under: uncultured bacterium
Lineage: Bacteria
Description: partial 16S ribosomal RNA
Rfam family: Bacterial small subunit ribosomal RNA
Source: RNAcentral
CCUACGUGAGGCAGCAGUGAGGAAUAUUGGUCAAUGGGCGCGAGCCUGAACCAGCCAAGUAGCGUGAAGGAUGACUGCCCUACGGGUUGUAAACUUCUUUUAUAAAGGAAUAAAGUGAGGCACGUGUGCCUUUUUGUAUGUACUUUAUGAAUAAGGAUCGGCUAACUCCGUGCCAGCAGCCGCGGUAAUCCGGAGGAUCCGAGCGUUAUCCGGAUUUAUUGGGUUUAAAGGGAGCGUAGAUGGGUUGUUAAGUCAGUUGUGAAAGUUUGCGGCUCAACCGUAAAAUUGCAAUUGAUACUGGCAGUCUUGAGUACAGUUGAGGUAGGCGGAAUUCGUGGUGUAGCGGUGAAAUGCUUAGAUAUCACGAAGAACUCCGAUUGCGAAGGCAGCUUACUAAACUGCAACUGACAUUGAUGCUCGAAAGUGUGGGUAUCAAACAGGAUUAGAUACCCGUGUAGUC